AGUGGGUGUAACGUACCUACUAGCCUACGACGGGUACGGGUUGUGAGAGCAAGAGCCCGGAGAUGGAUUCUGAGACACGAACCCAGGCCCUACGGGGUGCAGCAGGCGCGAAAACUUUACAAUGCGGGAAACCGUGAUAAGGGAAUCUCGAGUGCCAGCAUAUAAUGUUGGCUGUCCAGAUGCCUAAAAAGCAUCUGUUAGCAAGGGCCGGGCAAGACCGGUGCCAGCCGCCGCGGUAACACCGGCGGCCCGAGUGGUAACCGUUUUUAUUGGGUCUAAAGGGUCUGUAGCCGGCCAUGUAAGUCCCUUGGGAAAUCUGGCAGCUCAACUGUCAGGCUGCUAGGGGAUACUGCUUGGCUUGGGACCGGGAGAGGUGAGAGGUACCUUGAGGGUAGGGGUGAAAUCUUGUGAUCCUCGGGGGACCACCAGUGGCGAAGGCGUCUCACCAGAACGGGUCCGACGGUAAGGGACGAAAGCUAGGGGCACGAACCGGAUUAGAU
This 500-nucleotide ribosomal RNA is filed under the name uncultured microorganism. Its description in RNAcentral is "bacterial SSU rRNA". It matches the Rfam family "Archaeal small subunit ribosomal RNA", at positions 234 to 734 of the family's 1478-position model. The record is from RNAcentral.